This 72-nucleotide transfer RNA is filed under the name Millerozyma farinosa. RNAcentral describes it as "transfer RNA-Val". It matches the Rfam family "tRNA". From Rfam's summary of the family: Transfer RNA (tRNA) molecules are approximately 80 nucleotides in length. Their secondary structure includes four short double-helical elements and three loops (D, anti-codon, and T loops). Lineage: Eukaryota; Fungi; Ascomycota; Pichiomycetes; Serinales; Debaryomycetaceae. The record is from RNAcentral.
AAGUCAUUAGAUUAAUGGUAGUAUCGUGGAUCUUACACAUCCAAGAUGUAGGUUCAAUUCCUACAUGACUUA